UGGCACCAUGACCCUGAGCGUUGCCAGAAGUGAAAGUGAAAAUCCAGUUGUUUUUUUAAAGAAGGGAAAAUCUGGUAUUGUUCCUUUUCUUCUGAGUGAUCCCCACAGCUCUGGUGUCUUGUGUGCAGGGCUCUGAAAGGGGAACAAAUGCUUUAGCAGCCUGCCCGUUGGUGUGGAGUUUCCUGCUGCAGGGCUCRUGCCCAGGGAGAGCGUACUUAAAGGCUUCGUUGGAAAGACGUCACUGUAGACAUGACUGUAAUGAGAACUUGGUAAGCCUGCCCAGGGAUUGCGGAGGAUCAAGGAGUGUGUCGGACCCCAGCGGAGCCAAGCAGCCAGGACAGUCCGAUGGAUUCUCUCCCCUUCACUCGCAUAUGUUUCCUGCUUCUGACCAUUUCAUCUGCCAUUCUAGCUACCACGGUGCCCAGUGGUGACCCUGCUGACUGGACAAAAGACUCUUCCUUGAGCAGCACAAAAGUGACAGCCUAUGACUGCACGCACUGUGGUAUCAGUGUAUGCGAGUUAUCCAAUUUCAGUUGCUGUGUUGUAAUUGGUGAAACACAAAACAAGAUGUUUUCAAAUGAAGUAAUUCAGCUGGUGACCAGUGAAACACAUAUCACUAUGUGCUUUCAGCAAGCAGAUACUUUUCCAGAAGGAAUUUAUGCCAUCAUCUGGGUGAAAGACGAGGGAAUAGGAGAUUCAUGCGGCAYCCUGAAGGCUGAAGGUAUGGUCAGCUGGGAGCCUAGCUCUGAACAAACUGAAAAAUACAUUUCCAAUUAUGAAACAAAACUGUUAUAUAUUUGGGCAGACAGUGAGGUUAAUGAGGCAACUAACUUAAGAUGAGUAUUUUAUGAAGAAAAGACAUAGUCACUUAGAAAAAUAAAUUAAAUGCUUUCAGGCCA
Molecule: long non-coding RNA, 899 nt
Filed under: Dromaius novaehollandiae (emu)
Lineage: Eukaryota; Metazoa; Chordata; Aves; Casuariiformes; Dromaiidae
Description: lncRNA (ENSDNVG00000012239.1)
Source: RNAcentral